AUUGAACGCUGGCGGCAGGCCUAACACAUGCAAGUCGAACGAGUGGCGGACGGGUGAGUAAUGUGUGGGGAACUGCCCGAUGGAGGGGGAUAACUACUGGAAACGGUAGCUAAUACCGCAUACCAUCGGAUGAGCCCAUAUGGGAUUAGCUAGUAGGUGGGGUAAAGGCUCACCUAGGCGACGAUCCCUAGCUGGUCUGAGAGGAUGACCAGCCACACUGGGACUGAGACACGGUCCAUACUCCUACGGGAGGCAGCAGUGGGGAAUAUUGCACAAUGGGCGCAAGCCUGAUGCAGCCAUGCCGCGUGUAUGAAGAAGGCCUUAGGGUUGUAAAGUACUUUCAGCGGGGAGGCGUUACCGACAGAAGAAGCACCGGCUAACUCCGUGCCAGCCGCCGCGGUAAUUC
RNAcentral lists this ribosomal RNA (406 nucleotides) under uncultured bacterium. RNAcentral's name for it is "partial 16S ribosomal RNA". It matches the Rfam family "Bacterial small subunit ribosomal RNA", at positions 30 to 526 of the family's 1533-position model. The record is from RNAcentral.